RNAcentral lists this ribosomal RNA (373 nucleotides) under uncultured organism. Its description in RNAcentral is "bacterial SSU rRNA". It matches the Rfam family "Bacterial small subunit ribosomal RNA", at positions 526 to 896 of the family's 1533-position model. The record is from RNAcentral.
CAGAGGGUGCGAGCGCUGUUCGGAAUUACUGGGCGUAAAGCGCGCGCAGGCGGCCCUUUAAGUCCGUUGGUCAAAUGCCGGGGCUCAACCCCGAGCGUGCCGAGGAUACUGGAGGGCUGGAGACACGUAGAGGCAAGCGGAAUUCCGGGUGUAGCGGUGGAAUGCGUAGAGAUCCGGAAGAACACCGGAGGCGAAGGCGGCUUGCUGGGCGUGAUCUGACGCUGAGGCGCGAAAGCGUGGGGAGCGAACAGGAUUAGAUACCCUGGUAGUCCACGCCGUAAACGAUGGGCACUAGACGCCGGCGGGAUCGACCCCGUCGGUGUCGCAGCUAACGCGAUAAGUGCCCCGCCUGGGGAGUACGGCCGCAAGGCUG